This is a small nuclear RNA of Microtus oregoni (creeping vole), 105 nucleotides long. NCBI's taxonomy places the organism in Eukaryota, Metazoa, Chordata, Mammalia, Rodentia, Cricetidae. The record is from RefSeq and is a predicted model, not a curated record.
GUGUUCCCUUCCACAGCACCUGUACUAAAGUGGGAACUGUACAGAGAUGUUAGAAUGGCCCUGAGCAAGAAUGACAUGCAAAUUUGGGAAGUAUUCCAUAUUUUU